UCCGGCUUUCACCGGCUGUCUCGCCAGAGUGCCCACCCGAAGUGCUGGCAACAUAGGACAAGGGUUGCGCUCGUUGCGGGACUUAACCCAACAUCUCACGACACGAGCUGACGACAGCCAUGCAGCACCUGUGUGCAGGUCCCCGAAGGGAAGGAGUCCAUCUCUGGAAACCGUCCUGCCAUGUCAAGGGCUGGUAAGGUUCUGCGCGUUGCUUCGAAUUGAACCACAUGCUCCACCGCUUGUGCGGGCCCCCGUCAAUUCCUUUGAGUUUCAGUCUUGCGACCGUACUCCCCAGGCGGAAUGCUUAAAGCGUUAGCGACGGCACCCGGGGACUUUAUAACCCCAGACACCAAGCAUUCAUCGUUUAAGGCCAGGACUAC
This 380-nucleotide unclassified non-coding RNA is filed under the name uncultured bacterium. RNAcentral describes it as "contains 16S-23S intergenic spacer region". The record is from RNAcentral.